Molecule: ribosomal RNA, 253 nt
Filed under: uncultured bacterium
Lineage: Bacteria
Description: partial 16S ribosomal RNA
Rfam family: Bacterial small subunit ribosomal RNA
Source: RNAcentral
UACAGAGGCCUCGAGCGUUAGGCGGAAUCACUGGGCUUAAAGCGUGUGUAGGCGGACUUCUAAGUACCUUGUGAAAUCCCACGGCUCACCCGUGGAACUGCUCGGUAUACUGGUCGUCUUGAGCCUUCUAGGGGCGAGUGGAACAAAUGGUGGAGCGGUGAAAUGCGUAGAUAUCAGGAGGAACACCUAUUGCGAAGGCAGCUCGCUGGGACGUAACUGACGCUGAGACGCGAAAGCGUGGGGAGCAAACAGG